Molecule: ribosomal RNA, 232 nt
Filed under: uncultured bacterium
Lineage: Bacteria
Description: partial 16S ribosomal RNA
Rfam family: Bacterial small subunit ribosomal RNA
Source: RNAcentral
GAUCAUGGCUCAGGAUGAACGCUAGCUACAGGCUUAACACAUGCAAGUCGAGGGGCAGCAUAGUGUUCUUAGCAAUACCUUGAUGGCGACCGGCGCACGGGUGAGUAACGCGUAUGCAACCGUGCCCGAUACCGGGGUAUAGCCCAUGGAAACGUGGAUUAACACCCCCAUAGUACUUUUAUCCUGCAUGGGAUAGUGAGUUAAAUGUUCAAGGUAUCGGAUGGGCAUGCGU